CGGAAGUCUACCCGGCCUCUUCCUUCUCAUUCAGGAGGCCUCUCCUCCAGCCGUAAGGAGGUGGGAAGCCUGGUGGAGGCUCUCAUCUGCCUUUUGGGGAAGACCCUGAGGCCGGCCCACGCCCUGUUGGCAGGACCCUUCCUGAGUCCACCGUUCCUCUGGGUCUCACCACUUCUCCAAGUCCCUAGGCUGCCUCCUCUCUACCGUGCCUGGGACCCCAGGGGCAGCACUUCCAUUCUACACAAGCUACCUCAAAAGAGAAAACAGAAAAACAAGGAGUACUGAUGAUGGCAGCUGAGUAGCAGGACAAUCCAGGCAUCCAGUUAUGCCGGAGCCCCAGUAAGUGAAAUCUUUGUUCAUAUUCUUUUUAUAUACCCAUCUGCCGCCUAAAACCUGACAUCAUUUAAUGGUGUCUUUGGUCAAAUCUAAAUGAUCUGACUUUCAUAAUCCUUUGAUUCUAGCUUGCAGAGUCAAGAUGAACUCUAACUCAUGGGAUGGACAAAAUGAAAGAUAUAAGGUUUUCAGGGCUAAAAAGCCUCUUUUUACACAAAAUCAAAUUUUAAAAGAACAUUGACCUCAAAACAAUAAAACUGUCCUGGUUACACAAUAGAUAUAACUCUAUAAAUGGAAUCAUAUCCUUAAUGAACAUCCGUGGCUACCCAACUUUUCAUACGUCUUAUUGUUUACAGGCCUUGCUGUGAAUGCUCUCUUGCUUUAUCUGAAGUAUUUCCACCAAAGAGUUCUUUCCAACUUUAUUUCCUAUAUUAUGAAAAAUGAAGUUUUUUUCAACAUUCUAUCAAAGUAUGAUAGAUAAUGUAUAUUAUAUUAAAUAAACCAUAAUUGUACUGUUAACUGUUUUUAUGACAUUGGUCAGUAAAGUUCUAAAUCAUGCGACUAUAAUUUAUUUACAUGUAAGGAAGUGACAAUGAACUGCAUAAAGAAUGAAAGAGACGCCAGGCACAGUGGUUCACGCCUAUAAUUCUAGCACUUUGUGAGGCUGAGGCGGGCGGAUCACCUGAGGUUGGGAGUUUGAGACCAGCUUGACCAACAGGGAGAAACACCGUCUCUACUAAAAAUACAAAAUUAGCCAGGCAUGGUGGCACAUGCCUGUAAUCCCAGCUACUUGGGAGACCGAGGCAGGAGAAUCACUUGAACCCAGGAGGCAGAGGUUGUGGUGAGCUGAGAUUGUGCCAUUGCACUCCAGCCUGGGCAACAAGAAUAAGAAAAAAAAAAAACAAAAUAAUGAAAGAGAAUAUUCUAAUUACUAUCAGCUUACACAAAACUUAUAUAAAACACAAAUUUUUACCUGUUCA
Molecule: long non-coding RNA, 1313 nt
Filed under: Callithrix jacchus (white-tufted-ear marmoset)
Lineage: Eukaryota; Metazoa; Chordata; Mammalia; Primates; Cebidae
Description: lncRNA (ENSCJAG00000079087.1)
Source: RNAcentral